RNAcentral lists this ribosomal RNA (253 nucleotides) under uncultured bacterium. RNAcentral's name for it is "partial 16S ribosomal RNA". It matches the Rfam family "Bacterial small subunit ribosomal RNA", at positions 524 to 776 of the family's 1533-position model. The record is from RNAcentral.
UACGGAGGGGGCUAGGGUUGUUCGGAAUUACUGGGCGUAAAGCGCACGUAGGCGGCUUUGCAAGUUAGAGGUGAAAGCCCGGGGCUCAACUCCGGAAUUGCCUUUAAAACUGCAUCGCUAGAAUUGUGGAGAGGUAAGUGGAAUUCCGAGUGUAGAGGUGAAAUUCGUAGAUAUUCGGAAGAACACCAGUGGCGAAGGCGACUUACUGGGGUAUUUCUGACGCUGAGGCACGAAAGCCAGGGGAGCGAACGGG